UACGGAGGAUGCAAGCGUUAUCCGGAUUUAUUGGGUUUAAAGGGUGCGCAGGUUGUUUGAUAAGUCAGUGGUGAAAGUCUGUCGCUUAACGGUAGGAUUGCCAUUGAUACUGUUGGACUUGAAUAUGGAUGAGGUAGGCGGAAUGUGUAGUGUAGCGGUGAAAUGAAUAGAUAUUACACAGAACACCGAUUGCGAAGGCAGCUUACUAAUCCAUCAUUGACGCUGAGGCACGAAAGCGUGGGGAUCAAACAGGA
RNAcentral lists this ribosomal RNA (254 nucleotides) under uncultured prokaryote. RNAcentral describes it as "partial 16S ribosomal RNA". It matches the Rfam family "Bacterial small subunit ribosomal RNA", at positions 524 to 777 of the family's 1533-position model. The record is from RNAcentral.